AACCUCUAUCAUACUUCACUCCCACACAACUUUAGCUUCUUUAUUCUUUAUGCCUCCAAAAGAAUGUUGACUGGACCAAGAUCCUCAUCCUAUUUUACUUGAUCUGGAAAAACAACAUUAGAUAUUGGGAUGAGCAUAAAACGCUGGUAAGUUCAAGCCAACACCUCAAGCAACCAGAAUCUAUUUUACAAUGCAGAAACUCAUCCACCCUAAUAGGUGUUUUUCGCAACUCAAAACACUUACCUGAAUUUUCUUCUUAUACUCAUCUUGCAAGUUUCUUCCAGCCACUAUCAAGACUUUACAAUUUCCAUAACAUAUUGUACAAUUUAAACAGAAUAACCGACAUUCAACUUACUUUCAUGUUCAUCCAUUUGCAGAACUAAGCUGCUUCCCCGCACUGUUUUUUCACAUACAUGUUUAAGUUUAUAUACAUGCAGUUAUUCUUGUCCAGCAGAUGAAAAAAAAACAUUCAGUGUAUACAUAUCCAUUAAAUCGUUCAAUAUAGAUGUCUAUUUAACUUAUUAGUAUCUCAACUUUUAUUUCCAUGAUUUCCCCUCAUCUCUUUCAUACACAUACAAUAACUCUUAUCUCGCGACUGAAAAACAUUAAAGUAAUAUAUAUUUGUCAACUGAAUCACCCAACACAAUUACUUAUUUCACCCAUUCAUAACUUCAUACUUUGUUUUCAUGAUUAUCCCUCAUCUAUCUCUUAUUUUAACUAAUUUUCUAUCAGAUUUCACACCCCGCUCCACCGGUCCAUUUCUCUACCUGUACUGUUCACACCAGCAAAUAAUGUACACACACAGAACACUAAGGCCACAACACACACACACAGGUGUAUUCGGCAUGCCAGGCACGGUCCUUCUGGCCUUCUCUUUCUAGGCCACAACUCUGGCGUCAUAUACAGAACAUAUUCGGGAGAUUCACUCCCUUCGGACCCUCUAUUAUCUCGGUCCACUCUGCUGAUUGAUUUUUAGUCAGCUGGUUCCCAUCUCUCCUGCCAGCACAUGCCCCCCCCACACACACCACACAAUAAGAAACAACAUACAGAAAAAUAUGAAUUAGCCUCAGUUUAAUAUUGAUUAGUAUUUACUUUCUAUCUUCUGUCACCAGUGUCCUCAUUAUCCCAUACUACCAUCCCUAUCGUUUAGGACCCCAUAUUAAACUCUUUUCAUGCUCAUUCGUCAUUAUUACUAUUCUGUCCUCACCCACGUUCACCGAUUUUUUGUCACUGAAAUGCAUGGUUCACCUGAAAGUACAUCAACUCACCUCAAAACCGUCUCAGCUAACCUAUCAUCCAAUAAGUUUCUCUUCUGUAUCAAUUAUCAAAUUUUGUUCAUGCUUAUGCCUACCCAGAAUCCCUUCUUGUCCCUCUUUGUGACACUCAUCUCUCAUUCGAUGUUCUCUCUGUCUAUCUCUAACUUUUCCCUUCCCUGGCUACUAUACACUUCAGAAAUUCACUCCUAGAUUUUGGUUAACCCGGCCCAGUUUUAAACUCAGAACCUCAAUCUAUUAGCCUCACCUGAGCUCUCUCCCUCAGCCUAUCAUUCGGCCAUAACCACAGUGAAAUUCGGACAAUGUAAUACAUACCAGUACACAUAUAUGCAUUUUACAUUUACUGUUAAGUUUUCUUACAGCCUGCUUCCAUCUGUUUCUGGAGACUGAAAUGAACUUACCUCUCGGAUUUGCACGACGGAAAUAAAUUGAGUGGACUCUCUUCCUCUUUUUAGUUCCUCUCAGCUAGCGAUGCUUCUCUGCUUGGUUGCUCUCCUCUCUUUCACGAAUUUCUUACUAUUUUGCUCCCUCUCCAUCCAUCGGCAGCCUCUCUCUCUCUUAGGGUUUCUUCUUCUUUCCCUCCUUUUUCUUUGGUGUAAAAACAGUGCCCUUUAUAUAGUGGGUAAAGUUAGAUCAUAGUCGUCCAUUAUGGAUGAGAUUUUUACCCUCAAUUUCUUAUUUCUUUUUUCUUUCUUGUGAUGUUACAUACUUCUCCGUCAAAAAAAAAUUUGUCCUUCAAAUUUACACUUGGUUUGGAAUUUAUUUCAAGUGGUAAUGUUUGGUUUUAGCUCUUGCAAGUAUACCUUAAACUUUUAAAAUUUUCAAAUAUCUAUACUUAAGUAUGGUCUUAAGAUAUAUGUUGCGUAUUUAUUACAUCAUUAUUUUUUUUUUCCGUUAAUUCAAAGAGAAAUCUUCUAUGUGUGGUGGGUUAUUGGUCCUCCACUCUCCCACUACUCUAUUUUAGUGAAGUUCACUUUGGAGCCCCAUCUUAGUAUAUUGCAUUAUUUUCGUAUUUUUUUAAUCUACAAAAGACUUAUAUUCUAGAUUUAUCAUCCACAGGUAAUGACUUAUUAUUAGAACAUGUUCCUAGAACAUUCUCUUUCUUCUUCAAAAUUUUAUUUUAGAGGGGACAAGAAGUGUCAGGAAGAAGAGUUUUAAUUUGGCAUACUUUUUUUCAUCCCACACAAAAAUAUUUAUAUCUACCUAGCAUGUGAGAAUUUAAUAUUUAAGGGUUUUCUGAAUCAUCAUUACAACUUCUGUGUGACAUCUCAAUAGAAAUUUAUAUAAGUAGGAUACUUAUUAUUUAUUUAUUAUUUUAUUUUUUUAAAAGCUUUAUUCAUUAUUUCCUAUUGAAUAUUUUCUUUGGUGACAUUUAAGUUUUAUAUGGUUUUAUGUGCUAAGAUCAAUUAUGAUUGUUACUUUUUCACCAUCUUCAGUUGGCUUUGGAGUAAAACCCUAAGAUUUUAUUUCCUAAGUUUGUCACAUUUCGAACCCAUGCAAUUUAUAUCUCUUCGAACUUUCAAAAUCAUGGUCUUAUUCUCUCACAGUCGUAGAUGUUUUGGAAGAAGUCCCAAAACCUCUCCUAAUGUGCAUGUUAUCUAAUUUCUUUUGACUUCGCCGAGUACAAUGGUAAUUCCUUAUUUUCCUUAGUAACCUCGGAAUUAUUUUCAUGUCUACAUUUUACCUAAAAUAAAACAUUACCUCAAUGAUUUUUCUGUUGGCUCCCAAAAUAAACGUUGGUGGAUUUUAAAAAGUGGGUGUUUGUGUCAUCAAAAUUCCUCUUUCUUACUCAAUGAUUUACUACGCAAGCAAUUUACUCCGGCUCAUUGAUUCUUAUUAUUUUAGAACUCAAUAUAGUCAGAUUAUCUUGAGAAUGACUUAAUUUAAAUUCGUUGAGAUUUUCAAUUCAUGAGAUAGGAAACUUACGAUCACGAGAGUCGUUGACAAUUAUACAAGGAUCUCACUAGAUUGUUUCCACUUUUCCCUUCAAUAUUCCCUACUGGCUAUUCUAUUUUGCUCACUCUUUUCCAGUAAUCAUUUUCUACCCAAAAGAAGACCAAUAUCUUGUCCCCUCAUGCUCCCUUGCCUCACUGUACCCGUACCCAUCCCUCUAUACCUGCACCAUACUCAACCAUACUGUCCACAGAGAUUUCAGAAUUUAAUUCACAGUGUCCAUAAAUAUAUAUAUGCAUUGUCCAGUUAGUGUAACUUUUCCAGAAUUUAAUUGGUAACAACCUUUGUUUCAGAAAGCAUAAAUCAGUACCAUUACACACACACCCGCAUAUUCACAGUGUCUGUUUAUAAAUAUAUAUGCAUUAUCUAGUUAGUGUAACUUUUCCGGGGCAUCGACCCCGCGACCCGUCACUGGGCCAUUAAUAUCACAAUAAAUAGCUCGUUCUCCAGAGCACGACAAUUCACUAUUUUUAAUCAAUAACGACCGAGAACCCGACCACACACACAUAACCACAUCGUUCUUCAUUUCUGUUAGAAUAUUAAUAUUUAAAAAAUUGAACGUUAUAUAAAGAAUUCCAUCAACCAAUCAAACCGCAAAUAGUUCAUAGUAGUAUGGUAGCUGCUCGAGAGUGACAGGUAAGCGAAUCAUUUUCACUUUUCUUCUAAGACAAACUCUCUCUCUCUC
Molecule: long non-coding RNA, 3912 nt
Filed under: Carica papaya (papaya)
Lineage: Eukaryota; Viridiplantae; Streptophyta; Magnoliopsida; Brassicales; Caricaceae
Description: long non-coding RNA (CPAP_LNC007664)
Source: RNAcentral